CGGGCCCCGGGGGAGGGGGAACACGCGGGAACUGCUGCUAAUACCCCAUAUGCCGAAAGGUGAAAAGAAAUUUGCCUUGAGAGGGGCUCGCGUCCGAUUAGCUAGUUGGUGAGGUAAGAGCUUACCAAGGCGACGAUCGGUAGCUGGUCUGAGAGGAUGAGCAGCCACACUGGGACUGAGACACGGCCCAGACUCCUACGGGAGGCAGCAGUGGGGAAUUUUCCGCAAUGGGCGAAAGCCUGACGGAGCAACGCCGCGUGGGGGAAGAAGGCCUUUGGGUUGUAAACUCCUUUUCUCAGGGAAGAAGAACUGACGGUACCUGAGGAAUCAGCCUCGGCUAACUCCGUGCCAGCAGCCGCGGUAAUACGGAGGAGGCAAGCGUUAUCCGGAAUUAUUGGGCGUAAAGCGUUCGUAGGCGGCGUUUCAAGUCUGCUGUCAAAGGCCGAGGCUCAACUUCGGAAAGGCAGUGGAAACUGAAAAGCUAGAGGUCGGUAGGGGCAGAGGGAAUUCCCAGUGUAGCGGUGAAAUGCGUAGAUAUUGGGAAGAACACCGGUGGCGAAAGCGCUCUGCUGGGCCGAACCUGACGCUGAGGGACGAAAGCUAGGGGAGCGAAUGGGAUUAGAUACCCCCCAGUAGUCAA
This 640-nucleotide ribosomal RNA is filed under the name Phormidium lucidum BDU 10141. Its description in RNAcentral is "bacterial SSU rRNA". It matches the Rfam family "Bacterial small subunit ribosomal RNA", at positions 126 to 797 of the family's 1533-position model. Lineage: Bacteria; Bacillati; Cyanobacteriota; Cyanophyceae; Oscillatoriales; Oscillatoriaceae. The record is from RNAcentral.